This 265-nucleotide ribosomal RNA is filed under the name uncultured archaeon. RNAcentral describes it as "partial 16S ribosomal RNA". It matches the Rfam family "Archaeal small subunit ribosomal RNA", at positions 717 to 982 of the family's 1478-position model. The record is from RNAcentral.
ACACGACUACAUUAGAUACCCCCGUAGUCCUAGCCGUAAACGAUACUCGCUAGGUGUCGGCCACGGUGCGACCGUUGUCGGUGCCGUAGGGAAGCCGUGAAGCGAGCCACCUGGGAAGUACGGCCGCAAGGCUGAAACUUAAAGGAAUUGGCGGGGGAGCACAACAACGGGUGGAGCUUGCGGUUUAAUUGGAUUCAACGCCGGAAAUCUUACCGGGACCGACAGCAACAUGAAGGCCAGGCUGAAGACUUUGCCGGAUUAGCUG